UACCACCGAAAGUCGUUUGAAUGAAGUGGGGACACAGAAGGAUAGACAGAGCACGCCGUUGGUAGAGCGUGUCCAAGCAGUGAGGCUUGUGCGUAGGCAAAUCCGCGCACUUUAAGGCUAGGCUGUGAUGGGGAGGGAAAAAAGUACCGGAAGCUGUUGAUUUCACACUGUCAAGAAAAGCCGCUAGCGAGACCGUAGGUGCCCGUACCGCAAACCGACACAGGUAGAUGAGGAGAGAAUCCUAAGGUGAGCGAGAGAACUAUUGUUAAGGAACUCGGCAAAAUAACCCCGUAACUUCGGGAGAAGGGGUGCCUGCGAAAGCAGGCCGCAGUGAAAAGGCCCAGGCGACUGUUUACCAAAAACACAGGUCUCUGCAAAAGCGAAAGCUGAAGUAUAGGGGCUGACGCCUGCCCGGUGCUGGAAGGUUAAGGGGACUGCUUAGAGCAAUCGAAGGCAUGAACUUAAGCCCCAGUAAACGGCGGCCGUAACUAUAACGGUCCUAAGGUAGCGAAAUUCCUUGUCAGGUAAGUUCUGACCCGCACGAAAGGCGUAACGAUCUGGGCACUGUCUCAACAAUAGACUCGGUGAAAUUGUAGUACCGGUAAAGAUGCCGGUUACCCGCAGCAGGACGGAAAGACCCCGUGGAGCUUUACUGUAGUCUGAUAUUGGAUUUCGGCGUUGCAUGUACAGGAUAGGUGGGAGACUGAGAGGCUAGUACGCCAGUAUUAGCGGAGUCACCGUUGGGAUACCACCCUUGUAACGUUGAGGUUCUAACCGCGUGCCGUGACCCGGUGCCGGGACAGUGUCAGAUGGGCAGUUUGACUGGGGCGGUCGCCUCCCAAAGAGUAACGGAGGCGCCCAAAGGUUCCCUCAGUGCGGACGGAAAUCGCACGAAGAGUGUAAAGGCAGAAGGGAGCUUGACUGCGAGACAAACAGGUCGAGCAGGGACGAAAGUCGGGCUUAGUGAUCCGGUGGUUCCGAGUGGAAGGGCCAUCGCUCAACGGAUAAAAGCUACCCCGGGGAUAACAGGCUGAUACCCCCCAAGAGUCCACAUCGACGGGGGUGUUUGGCACCUCGAUGUCGGCUCGUCGCAUCCUGGGGCUGAAGUAGGUCCCAAGGGUUGGGCUGUUCGCCCAUUAAAGAGGUACGCGAGCUGGGUUCAGAACGUCGUGAGACAGUUCGGUCCCUAUCCGCUGUGGGCGUUGGAGAUUUGAGUGGAGCUGUUCUUAGUACGAGAGGACCGGGAUGGACAUACCUCUGGUGCACCAGUUGUUCUGCCA
This 1280-nucleotide ribosomal RNA is filed under the name human gut metagenome. RNAcentral describes it as "bacterial LSU rRNA". It matches the Rfam family "Bacterial large subunit ribosomal RNA", at positions 1442 to 2731 of the family's 2925-position model. The record is from RNAcentral.